This is a long non-coding RNA of Alnus glutinosa, 1016 nucleotides long. RefSeq lists it as uncharacterized. The transcript is spliced from 5 exons. NCBI's taxonomy places the organism in Eukaryota, Viridiplantae, Streptophyta, Magnoliopsida, Fagales, Betulaceae. The record is from RefSeq and is a predicted model, not a curated record.
CUCUCUGGAUCGGAGACUUGGCACACACGUGACCUUUCAAGAAGAUAUGUACGAAUUGCAGCUCCAGAUAUCUUUCCAUGCUUAUCAAAUUGAAUCUCAACAAAUUUACCAAAACGACUGGUAAAGCCACCAAAUGAUUUUUGGCAUUCCCAAAUGCUUCCAAGACUGGGUUGGACUGAGAUGAGGAGAAAAUCAGGCUUCAUUUUUAUCCAUUGGAAGUAGUUAAUAUACAAGAAAUAGUUCAAGCUCACCUCCAAAACCUGUUGUUCUACUGUUCUUCCUUCUGUGACAGAUCUGCCCCCCAUGAAUGCAAGCAAAGAGGUGUGGACUCAGCUCUCCAAAUGCAGCUCCCUUAUACUGCUGCAUCAUGUGGAUGUCGUACAAGUGUGGCAGUCUCCGAAAAGGAUUCACCGCUAUUAGAAUGUUCCCAGUUGGUGUUGAUUAGGGUGGAUGUUACUCACAUAUAUCUCAUUGAGUGCAAACCGACAGGCAAGGUUAUGCAGGACUCCUGGCUCAUGGAGCCUAUUUUUAAUAGUGCAACAAGGCAUGGGGGAGCGGGGGAGCCUGCUCCUGCCCUACAAGUACAAGGUAUGAGGUAUCCAAGCUGCUGACUGCCAAGUGCCAUCUGUAAUAUUAAUGCUUCUCUCCUCGGUGCUUGAUCACAUGCACUCAUGUACACCAACCUUCCUCUGGUACACACAUACUGCUCUCUCUAUAUGCUCACUUACUAAACCUAUCAGCUUCCGCCUGCGGUCUCAGUUUGGCCCUCAAUGCUGAGUUGAUGAUAAGCGAAUAAAAAAUAAUAAUAAAAGAAAUUUUAUUAUUCAAGAGAUAAUAUUUGCAAGAUGAUAAAUUAAAAAUUUAUUAAUGUUGUUAAUGUAGAAGUAGAAAAAACUUAUAGUUCAGACUCUUUCUCUAUAAAUAGAGUUUCGUAUAUAAUCAAAUAAAUCAAGAAAAAAUGUAGCCAAGAAAAAGCUUUGAUAUGUGGAUGUAGACCACAGGCCGAACCACCUUAA